Molecule: ribosomal RNA, 1251 nt
Filed under: uncultured bacterium
Lineage: Bacteria
Description: bacterial SSU rRNA
Rfam family: Bacterial small subunit ribosomal RNA
Source: RNAcentral
GUGAAGCCCAGCUUGCUGGGUGGAUCAGUGGCGAACGGGUGAGUAACACGUGAGCAACCUGCCCUCCACUUCGGGAUAAGCCUUGGAAACGGGGUCUAAUACCGGAUAUGAGCUCGCAUCGCAUGGUGUGGGUUGGAAAGUUUUUCGGUGGGGGAUGGGCUCGCGGCCUAUCAGCUUGUUGGUGGGGUGAUGGCCUACCAAGGCGUCGACGGGUAGCCGGCCUGAGAGGGCGACCGGCCACACUGGGACUGAGACACGGCCCAGACUCCUACGGGAGGCAGCAGUGGGGAAUAUUGCACAAUGGGCGCAAGCCUGAUGCAGCGACGCCGCGUGAGGGAUGACGGCCUUCGGGUUGUAAACCUCUUUCAGCAGGGAAGAAGCGCAAGUGACGGUACCUGCAGAAGAAGCGCCGGCUAACUACGUGCCAGCAGCCGCGGUAAUACGUAGGGCGCAAGCGUUGUCCGGAAUUAUUGGGCGUAAAGAGCUCGUAGGCGGUCUGUCGCGUCUGGUGUGAAAUCCCGAGGCUCAACCUCGGGCUUGCAUCGGGUACGGGCAGACUAGAGUGCGGUAGGGGAGACUGGAAUUCCUGGUGUAGCGGUGGAAUGCGCAGAUAUCAGGAGGAACACCGAUGGCGAAGGCAGGUCUCUGGGCCGCAACUGACGCUGAGGAGCGAAAGCAUGGGGAGCGAACAGGAUUAGAUACCCUGGUAGUCCAUGCCGUAAACGUUGGGCACUAGGUGUGGGGCUCAUUCCACGAGUUCCGUGCCGCAGCUAACGCAUUAAGUGCCCCGCCUGGGGAGUACGGCCGCAAGGCUAAAACUCAAAGGAAUUGACGGGGGCCCGCACAAGCGGCGGAGCAUGCGGAUUAAUUCGAUGCAACGCGAAGAACCUUACCAAGGCUUGACAUGUACGAGAAAGCCCCCGAGACGGGGUUCUCUUUGGACACUCGUACACAGGUGGUGCAUGGUUGUCGUCAGCUCGUGUCGUGAGAUGUUGGGUUAAGUCCCGCAACGAGCGCAACCCUCGUCCUAUGUUGCCAGCGGGUUAUGCCGGGGACUCAUGGGAGACUGCCGGGGUCAACUCGGAGGAAGGUGGGGAUGACGUCAAAUCAUCAUGCCCCUUAUGUCUUGGGCUUCACGCAUGCUACAAUGGCCGGUACAGAGGGCUGCGAUACCGUAAGGUGGAGCGAAUCCCAAAAAGCCGGUCUCAGUUCGGAUUGGGGUCUGCAACUCGACCCCAUGAAGUCGGAGUC